UGCCUUUGUGUUGCCCGUUCAUUGCUUUUUUCCCCCCAAGUGAACGAGGUGUCAAACAAGGCAUACAGCAACUCUUGCAAGUGUAUUUCAUCUGGGUGCUUACCUUUGCACACUUGAUUGUAUUUCUUGCAAGAACAAAU
This 140-nucleotide small nucleolar RNA is filed under the name Erpetoichthys calabaricus (reedfish). RNAcentral's name for it is "Small nucleolar RNA SNORA13 (ENSECRG00000013447.1)". It matches the Rfam family "Small nucleolar RNA SNORA13". From Rfam's summary of the family: ACA13 is a member of the H/ACA class of snoRNA that guide the sites of modification of uridines to pseudouridines. Lineage: Eukaryota; Metazoa; Chordata; Cladistia; Polypteriformes; Polypteridae. The record is from Rfam by way of RNAcentral.